AAGGUGAAGACAUUUUACUCCCUCCACAUUUACAGCCACAAAUACAAAAUAUUCUAAAUACCCUUGAACCUAGCCGAACAUUCAAAGAAAUCUACCAAACGCACCGCCAACAAGCCAAACAAGGUCAUUCGAGGAUAGAUUAGGCCAGCCAAAACCUCGCCAACACUUUUUCGUUGAGAGACCAUACCGAUGGUUCAUUGACAAGCCAAAAACAAGUUGACCCCGCCGAUUUUGACUCAUCUUCGCUAGUUUUCACCAUAUUUAAGGUGUAAACACUGGAAAAUGGCACAUAAGAGAUUCUGUGUCAAUGAGCUGGAUGGUGAGUUUAAGUUCUACAUGGCCCAUAAGGUUUAAGGCCAUGUGACUAUCAGAGUGCACCUAGACGCGGUUGAGAGGAUCCACUCUAACCUAAAUAUAACUAAGAGAGAAAUGUUCAGAGCAACACAUUUUGGUCAUUUUUUAGGCAUGGAAGAACAUCCAUAUAACUCAAUACUUAUGCACUCAAUCUUGUUCUGUCUUAUAAAUCAAGGUUAAUACUUGGAGUCUUCAACUGAAGUCCAGCAGUCAAGUCAAAGACAAUAGAUGGUACCACAAAUGCAAAUUGGUUUUGUUUUGCCAUGUACGAGAGGCUGGAUAAUGAAAACUUUAUGGUUAUGGCCGGAGUAAAGAGUGUUCUAUAAUUUUAUAUCUAUGUUAUAUCCUAUAUAAAUUAAUUAUGCAUAUAAACUAAACUUGUAUUAAAUA
Long non-coding RNA from Mangifera indica (mango), 744 nucleotides. RefSeq lists it as uncharacterized. The transcript is spliced from 2 exons. Lineage: Eukaryota; Viridiplantae; Streptophyta; Magnoliopsida; Sapindales; Anacardiaceae. The record is from RefSeq and is a predicted model, not a curated record.